AACGCUGCUGGCGUGCCUAUUCAUGCAAGUCUCGCGGUACUGUGACGGAGCUUGCUCAUGUUCAAGUUAGCGGCGGACGGGCUAGCAGUAACACGUGGGUAACCUGCCUGUAAGACUGGGAUAACUCCGGGAAACCGGGGCUAAUACCGGAUAUUCUUUUUCUGUCGCAUGAAGAAGAAUGGAAAGGCGGCUUUUAGCUGUCACUUACAGAUGGACCCGCGGCGCAUUAGCUAGUUGGUGAGGUAACGGCUCACCAAGGCGACGAUGCGUAGCCGACCUGAGAGGGUGAUCGGCCACACUGGGACUGAGACACGGCCCAGACUCCUACGGGAGGCAGCAGUAGGGAAUCUUCCGCAAUGGACGAAAGUCUGACGGAGCAACGCCGCGUGAGUGAAGAAGGUUUUCGGAUCGUAAAGCUCUGUUGUCAGGGAAGAACAAGUACCAAAGUAACUGUUGGUACCUUGACGGUACCUGACCAGAAAGCCACGGCUAACUACGUGCCAGCAGCCGCGGUAAUACGUAGAGUGGCAAGCGUUGUCCGGAAUUAUUGGGCGUAAAGCGCGCGCAGGCGGCUUCUUAAGUCUGAUGUGAAAGCCCACGGCUCAACCGUGGAGGGUCAUUGGAAACUGGGAGGCUUGAGUGCAUAAGAGGAUAGCGGAAUUCCACGUGUAGCGGGAGAAAUGCGUAUAGAUGUGGAAGAACACCAUUGGCAAAGGAGGCUCUUUGGUCUGAAACUGACGCUGACGCGCGAAAGCCUGGCGAGCGACAAGGAUUAAAUCCCCUGGU
This 786-nucleotide ribosomal RNA is filed under the name Bacillus sp. PG3. RNAcentral's name for it is "bacterial SSU rRNA". It matches the Rfam family "Bacterial small subunit ribosomal RNA", at positions 32 to 791 of the family's 1533-position model. Lineage: Bacteria; Bacillati; Bacillota; Bacilli; Caryophanales; Bacillaceae. The record is from RNAcentral.